UGCGCAAGUGAUGAGAAAAACAGACAGGGACAUCAGAGCUCACUUCGAGUAUGAUGAUUUGUCUUUGGGAAUCUCUUUGAUGCCCU
Eucalyptus grandis is the source of this 86-nucleotide non-coding RNA. The record is from Rfam. Lineage: Eukaryota; Viridiplantae; Streptophyta; Magnoliopsida; Myrtales; Myrtaceae.